CAGAUUCUGUUUUUUCUGUUUCACAGCAGUGACAAAGCAAACAGUGGUGAAAAUGAAGCUUCAGUCAGAGGCAGACAUGCACAGCACAGAGAUCCAGCAGCAGGUUUCACAGCAGCUGUCAGGCCUCAUGCUGUCAGAAGGACUGACAGACUUCAGGAUUCGAUGGAGGAAAGUCCAGAGUUACCGUGACGACCAGUCAAAGAAGCAGGAUGUGGACGGUGGCUGCAAA
Oreochromis aureus is the source of this 229-nucleotide long non-coding RNA. RefSeq lists it as uncharacterized. The transcript has 3 exons. The record is from RefSeq and is a predicted model, not a curated record. Lineage: Eukaryota; Metazoa; Chordata; Actinopteri; Cichliformes; Cichlidae.